Molecule: transfer RNA, 799 nt
Filed under: Marmota monax (woodchuck)
Lineage: Eukaryota; Metazoa; Chordata; Mammalia; Rodentia; Sciuridae
Rfam family: tRNA (bases 449-517)
Source: RNAcentral
CUCCCCUUCAGGUUUUCUCCUCCCCCUGCCCCACCCAGCUCAUGAGGCACUCAACUCCUUCAUAUUUUCCUGGGGAGAGGCCUGGUUUCCUGGAGGGUUAGCCAUGGUUAUAGAAAUCACAAUUCCGAGAAAAAAGGACUAAGGACUAAGCACACAAUUCAGUACAUUUCCCUACACAAGCUGUAGAAACAGAGUUUGAACAUCAGAUCAGAUAACAUUGUAUCUCAAAGAAUAGAGGAGGCUUUAUAUUGAAUUAGACAUUGUGGGGCGGUAAAAGAGAGUUGAUACUCUUCCAUUUUUCCUUCCCGUGUUAGACGAAUAUUUCAAUUAGUUUUGUCUGAAUUUUAAAAUCUAAAACUAAUUCUAUUUUCUUGAUAUUGUGAUUGGUGUUUCUUUAAGUCAUCUUCUUAAUCUGUAAAAUUCUUUUAAAAGAUGCCAUCCUAGGGCUGGGGUUGAGGCUCAGAGGUAGAGCGCAUGCCUAGCACGCAUGAGGCACUGGGUUUGAUCCUCAGCACCACAUAAAAAUAUUGUGUCCACCUAUAACUAAAAAUUAUUUGAAAAAAAGAUACCAUCCUAUCUAGAUAGUGCUAAUAAACACAAAGUACUGUUUGUCCAUAUUGGAAAUGUUGCCAAGAAACCGCAGGUAUGGGAAGGCAGCAGGGCUCAAGAACCUCAUAGGUAAGAGGCAGCAGCUCAGAGGAACAGGAAUUCUUCUAGAGCUCUUGACACUUCUCAGUGGGUUUUAUGAAGUCUUUUACCUUUCUCCGUCUCCUGGGCUCAUUAUAUUUUUUAAAAUGUG